AGUGAACGCUGGCGGUAGGCCUAACACAUGCAAGUCGAACGGCAGCACAGUAAGAGCUUGCUCUUACGGGUGGCGAGUGGCGGACGUGUGAGGAAUACAUCGGAAUCUACUUUUUCGUGGGGGAUAACGUAGGGAAACUUACGCUAAUACCGCAUACGACCUACGGGUGAAAGCAGGGGAUCUUCUGACCUUGCGCGAUUGAAUGAGCCGAUGUCGGAUUAGCUAGUUGGCGGGGUAAAGGCCCACCAAGGCGACGAUCCGUAGCUGGUCUGAGAGGAUGGUCAGCCACACUGGAACUGAGACACGGUCCAGACUCCUACGGGAGGCAGCAGUGGGGAAUAUUGGACAAUGGGCGCAAGCCUGAUCCAGCCAUACCGCGUGGGUGAAGAAGGCCUUCGGGUUGUAAAGCCCUUUUGUUGGGAAAGAAAAGCAGCAGGUUAAUACCCCGCUGUUCUGACGGUACCCAAAGAAUAAGCACCGGCUAACUUCGUG
RNAcentral lists this ribosomal RNA (492 nucleotides) under uncultured bacterium. RNAcentral's name for it is "partial 16S ribosomal RNA". It matches the Rfam family "Bacterial small subunit ribosomal RNA", at positions 29 to 507 of the family's 1533-position model. The record is from RNAcentral.